CAUGUAGGCGGCAUAACAAGUCUGGUGUGAAAUAUCUCGGCUCAACCGAGGGAACGCACUGGAAACUGUUAAGCUUGAGUAUCGGAGGGGAAGCUAGAAUUCCUGGUGUAGGGGUGAAAUCUGUAGAUAUCAGGAAGAAUACCGGUGGCGAAGGCGAGCUUCUGGCCAGAUACUGACGCUGAGAUGCGAAAGCGUGGGGAGCGAACAGGAUUAGAUACCCUGGUAGUC
RNAcentral lists this ribosomal RNA (228 nucleotides) under uncultured bacterium. Its description in RNAcentral is "partial 16S ribosomal RNA". It matches the Rfam family "Bacterial small subunit ribosomal RNA", at positions 568 to 795 of the family's 1533-position model. The record is from RNAcentral.